Long non-coding RNA from Prunus avium (sweet cherry), 692 nucleotides. RefSeq lists it as uncharacterized. Lineage: Eukaryota; Viridiplantae; Streptophyta; Magnoliopsida; Rosales; Rosaceae. The record is from RefSeq and is a predicted model, not a curated record.
AUCAUCAACUUAGAACUCUCUAACUCUUUGGUGAUUUUUUGGCCAUAAAACUAGAAAAAAAAUCGCACCUCAAGCGGCUAAACUCCAAACAAAACCCAAAAAUCAGUGAGUUAGAAGAGAUUCGAGAGAGAAUCAUCAUAUUUGGAGGAGUGAUUAUGUUAAUUAUUUAUAAGGGAUUUGCUCUUAUGUUUGCAACCAAGAAUCUCCAACUUCCGUUCAUACAAGUAUACUGUUACUUAUGGCUACGGAGUCACAAGCAUUUUGGAAUGGGCGGUUUCGGAAAAGAGGGAUCUUCAGUUCAUCUCACCCGAGUACAUGGAUCUUUUGUUGCCUUCGUUUUCCCUUCACGGGAUAGUAUUGUUAAGGUUCGGUGGCGAUUUGUUUUGCAUGUGUAAAAUGUAGUCUGUAAUGGAUGUGUGUGUAUUGUAUGUAGAUUUACUUAAUAUUGCUGUUAUAUUGUAUGUAUAUUGCUUAAUAUUGCCUUUGUAUUGCAUAGAUAGUGUAUGCAUAUUGCCACCCUAUUGGAUGUAUAUUGUAGUACUAUUGCUAUCGUAUUAUCCUUAAAUUGCUCAAAUAUUGCCUCUAUAGUGCAAGUAUGUUGGCCUAAUAUUGCUAUUAUAUCGUAUGUCAAUGGCAUUUGGUCUAAUAACAGUCUCCACUUCGUUCAAAGUAAUCCUAAAUUCAAAUAUCAC